CCUACGGGUGGCUGCAGUGGGGAAUAUUGGACAAUGGGCGAAAGCCUGAUCCAGCCAUGCCGCGUGUGUGAAGAAGGCCUUCGGGUUGUAAAGCACUUUCAGUGGGGAAGAAAGCCUUGGGGCUAAUACCCUCGAGGAAGGACAUCACCCACAGAAGAAGCACCGGCUAACUCCGUGCCAGCAGCCGCGGUAAUACGGAGGGUGCGAGCGUUAAUCGGAAUUACUGGGCGUAAAGCGCGCGUAGGCGGUCUGAUAAGCCGGUUGUGAAAGCCCCGGGCUCAACCUGGGAACGGCAUCCGGACCUGUCAGGCUAGAGUGCAGGAGAGGAAGGUAGAAUUCCCGGUGUAGCGGUGAAAUGCGUAGAGAUCGGGAGGAAUACCAGUGGCGAAGGCGGCCUUCUGGACUGACACUGACGCUGAGGUGCGAAAGCGUGGGUAGCAAACAGGAUUAGAUUACCCUGGUAGUC
This 466-nucleotide ribosomal RNA is filed under the name Vreelandella stevensii. RNAcentral's name for it is "partial 16S ribosomal RNA". It matches the Rfam family "Bacterial small subunit ribosomal RNA", at positions 338 to 795 of the family's 1533-position model. The record is from RNAcentral. Lineage: Bacteria; Pseudomonadati; Pseudomonadota; Gammaproteobacteria; Oceanospirillales; Halomonadaceae.